RNAcentral lists this transfer RNA (63 nucleotides) under Manocoreus sp. Its description in RNAcentral is "tRNA-Asp". The record is from RNAcentral. Lineage: Eukaryota; Metazoa; Arthropoda; Insecta; Hemiptera; Coreidae.
AAGAGUUUAGUUUAAAUAAAACAUUAAUUUGUCAAGUUAAAAAUGUCAUUAAGAUAAUUCUUA